Molecule: ribosomal RNA, 455 nt
Filed under: uncultured bacterium
Lineage: Bacteria
Description: bacterial SSU rRNA
Rfam family: Bacterial small subunit ribosomal RNA
Source: RNAcentral
UACGGAAGGCAGCAGUGGGGAAUAUUGCACAAUGGGCGAAAGCCUGAUGCAGCUAUGCCGCGUGUAUGAAGAAGGCCUUAGGGUUGUAAAGUACUUUCAUCGGGGAGGAAAAACAAAACUAAUAAUUUUAUUUCUUGACGUUACCCGAAAAAGAAGCACCGGCUAACUCCGUGCCAGCAGCCGCGGUAAUACGGAGGGUGCUAGCGUUAAUCAGAAUUACUGGGCGUAAAGAGCACGUAGGUGGUUUUUUUAAGUCAGAUGUGAAAUCCCUGGGCUUAACCUAGGAACUGCAUUUUGAAACUGAAAUACUAGAGUAUCGUAGAGGGAGGUAGAAUUCUAGGUGUAGCGGUGAAAUGCGUAGAUAUCUGGAGGAAUACCUGUGGCGAAAGCGGCCUCCUAAAUGAAUACUGACACUGAGGUGCGAAAGCGUGGGGAGCAAACAGGGAUUAGAUACC